Molecule: long non-coding RNA, 5840 nt
Filed under: Homo sapiens (human)
Lineage: Eukaryota; Metazoa; Chordata; Mammalia; Primates; Hominidae
Description: non-protein coding lnc-POC1B-1:7
Source: RNAcentral
CCAUGUUUUUCCCUUUGUACCUUUUUAAAAAAUACUUAUGAAUGGAAUGUAUUGAACCUCCCCCAUGCUGUGCAUCUCACUUUUCUCCUGUACAAACAGGAUGUAAAGACAGGGUUAGUUGGUAGAAAGCUAUCUGCUAAUACCUAGGUUUCAAUACCUUUGAGAGACAAAGAGAGAUGUCAGUUGGCUAAUGUUGUAGGAUGGAGAGCUGGCACCCUUUUUUCUCUCUGCACAUAUGCUUUUCCCUUUUUUCUUUCAUUUCCAUAUGUCAUAUGAUAAUAAUAUAUUUUUUGCUUGUGCCAAACAAGAAAACCUAUUGGAGCUCUUUUAUUGCUUAGAUUGUCUAUGGUCUUAAAUCAUCUUUGCCAAUUUUCCUAUUGUCCUUUCUAUACUAACGACCUUGACUGCAAACCUCCAGAGUUCAAUGAAUGAUUGGGGCCUUUUUCCAAGAAGGUCUGAAGCUGUUAUUACAAUAUGAUUAAUAAUAUUUGUGGCCAUGUAUGUACAUACUUAGAUAUGUUGUGAUCCAUAUUUUUUCAAAAAAACUGUCUUGGUUAUAGAUAAUUUGGUUUCCACCUGUGAGAGCAAUAAUAAAAUCUGCAUACAGCCGGGCUCAGUGGCUCACUCCUGUAAUCCCAGCACUUUGGGAGGCCGAGGCGGGCAGAUCACGAGGUCAGGAGAUCGAGACCAUCCUGGCUAACAUGGUGAAACCCCGUCUCUACUGAAAAUACAAAAAAGUAGCUGGAGGUGGUGGUGGGCACCUGUAGUCCCAGCUACUCGGGAGGCUGAGGCAGGAGAAUGGUGUGAACCCAGGAAGCAGAGCUUGCAGUGAGCUGAGAUUGCGCCACUGCACUCCAGCCUGGGCAACAGAAUGAGACUCCAUCUCAAAAAAAAAAAUCUGUAUACAAGUGGUUAACAUUUUCUAAAAUAUUCAAGCUUCUGCUAAGUACUAGAAAUGAUCCAAGGGAUACAGUGAUGAGAAGAGUAAACAUAGUAGUCUAGUGAGGGAGACAGACAAUAGACAAGCAGCAAAUACAUAAAUACAAAUUCUGGUCAGUUACAGAGGAAAGCAUCAGGAUGCCAUGCUGGAGAAUGAAAGGUCCAGCUUCAGUAGGGUAGUCAGGGCAGGGACUGCAUUUCUGAAGAUGGGACAGUUAAGCUGAAAUUUGGAGGUCAAGAAGGAUGCAGUCAUGCUAGGAUGGCAGAGAAAGCCAUUGCAGGCAGAGCAGAAGCAAUGUUUUUUGUUUGUUUGUUGGUUUGUUUUUUAAAGCCUGUUCUUUGAGCAGGAACUAUUUGUUUGGGGGUGAGGAUGGUUGUGGAGCAUGGACAUCCAUAUUUUGUUCCCAGUGAAUGAGGUCUAGGAUCAGGAAUGUAGACUAUGAUCAUGAGUCAAGAUUUCUUAGAGAAUCCUUUGUAUUUCCAUACUCACCUCUACAGUGCUCCCAUUUUAGUCCUUGCUGUCAGCUCAGUAGCUGCAGACCCAUGUAGAUAAGUGCUGUAUGUUGUCUUCCUAGUUCCUUUAGCUCAGAGCAUGAAUAGGUGGUUGGUCCAUAGAUGCUUCUAAGUAUGACUGAAUAGCAUUAAAAAUCCUUUAUGUUAACUUGAUCUUUCAGAAUCUGUGAUUGUUAGGAGCCUUUCUUCUGGACGUUUUCAGUACAGUUUUAGCUUUUCUCUGUCAUAAGGAGUUGAGUAACUCGAAGUGAUACUAAUAGGAUCGUUUUGAGGAUGUGGUUUUGUUUUGUUUUGUUUUGUUUUUAAGAGACAGAGUUUCUCACUCUGUAGCCCAGGCUGGAGUGCAGUGGUGCCAUCAUAGCUCACUGCAGCCUCAAACUCUUGGGCUCAAGCCAUUCUCCAGCCUCAGCCUCCUGAGUAGCUAGAACUACAGGCACACACUAGCAUGCCUGUCUAAGUUUUUUAUUUUUUUAUUUUUUGUAGAGAUGGGGUCUCCUUAUGUUGCCCAGGCUGAUCUCAAACUCUUGGCCUCAAGCAAUCCUCCCAUUUUCGUCUCUUAACACUUUGGGAUUACAGGCAUGAACCACUAUGCCCUGCCCUUUAUGAUCCAUUUUGAGUUAAUUUUGUAGAUGGUGUGAGGUAGAGACCCAAAUUCAUUGUUUUGAAUGUGGAUAUUGGGUUUUCCUCACGCCAUUUGUUAAAAAGAUAAUUCUUUCCAGAUUAAAUUGUCUUGGCAACCUUGUCAAAAAUCAACUGACCAUAAAUGGAAGGGUUUAUUUCUGCACUCUCAGUUUUGUUUCUUUGAUUUAUAUGUCUAUUCUUAUGUCAGUGCCACACUGUCUUAAUUACUAUAGUUUUACAAUAAGUUUGGAAAUUUGGAAGUAUGAGUCCUUCACAUUUUUUUCAUCAAUAUUAUUUUAGCUGUUAUGGGUUUCUUGCAUUUCCAUAUGAGUUUUAGGAUCAGCUUAUCAACCUCUGCAAAAAAGACAAAUGGGAUUUUGAUAGGGUUUGCACUGAAUCUGCAUAUCAAUGUGGGGAGUAUUGCCAUCUUAAUAAUAUUAAGGUUUUUGAUUCAUAAAUUUGGGAUAUGGGAUGUUUAUUUGUUUAGAUCUUUUAUUUCUUUCAAUGAUGGUUUGUAUAAUAGUUUCCAGUACACAAGUCUUACAUUUCUUUUUUUUUUUUUUUGAAACAUGGCCUUGGUCUGUCACCCAGGCUGGAGUAAAGUGGCGUGAUCUUGGCUCACUGCAACGUCUGUCUCCCAGGUUCAAGUGAUUCUUUUGCCUCAGCCUCCCAAGUAGCUGGGAUUACAGGCGUGUACCACCACACCUGGCUAAUUUUUGUAUUUUUAGUAGAGACUUUCACCAUGUUGGCCAGGCUGGUCUCAAACUCCUGGCCUCAGGUGAUCCGCCCACCUUGGCCUCCCAAAGUGCUGGGAUUACAGGCUUGAGCCACCACACCCAGCCUUACAUUUCUUUUGUUAACUUUUUUCAUAAAUAUUUUUUAUGCUAUUCCAUUGUAAAUGGAAUUAUUUUCUUAAUUUUAUUUUUGGAUUGUUCAUUGCCAUAUGGAGGACUUUCUGUUUUUCUCUUGUGGUAACAUAUACAUAAUGUAAAAUUUAUCAUUUUAACCAUUCUUAAGUAUACAAUUCACUGGCAUUAAGUAUAUUCACAGUAUUCAGUGUUUUAUAACCAUCAUCACUAUCUAUUUCCAGAAUUUUGUCAUCAUUCCAAGUAGAAACUCUGUACUCAUUGAGCAAUAACUCCCCAUUACCCCUACCUCCAGCCCCUGGUAACCUCUACUGUACUUUUUGUCUCUAGGAAUUUACCUAUUCUAGGCACCUCAUAUAAGUGCAGUCACAUAGUCUUUGUCCUUUUGUGUCUGGCUCAUUUUACUUAGCAUGUUUUCAAGAUGUAUCCAUGUUAUAACAUGUAUCAGAAUUCCAUUCCUUUUUAUGGCUGAAUUAUAUUUCAUUGUAUGUUUAUACCACAUUUUGUGUAUACGUUCAUCUAUCGUUGUUUCUAGCUUUUGGCUAUUGUGAAUAAUGUUGCUAUGAACAUUGCUGUACAAGUAUCCAGUUGAGUCCCUGCUUUCAGAGUUCUCCUGGAUGUAUACGUAGGAGUAGAAUUGCUGGAUCAUAUGGUAAUUUUAUGUUUAAUUUUGGGGGUAACUAACAGCCAAACUAUUUUCCAAAGCAGCUGAACCAUUUUACAUUCCUACUAGCAAUGGACAAGUGUUUCAGUUUCUCCACAUUCUCACCAACACUUGUUAUUUUUCAUUUUUUUGAUAAUAGUCACCCUAAUAGAUGUGAAUAUUGUUUUUAAAUUAAGAAUUAAACUGCAUCUAACAAUCUUUUUAAUGGUAGAUCCCUCAGAUCAGUGUAUGGAAAGUGUGUUUCAUUGAAAAGAAAGUCAAGGAAAUUGUCUCUAUUCACUGUUAGCUUUGUUUCCUUAUUAUAAGAAUUAUAAUAAUUCCUUAUUUAAUUAUAGUAAUUUCCAUAACUUAUUAUAGUUGGGGAUAAAUCUUCAAUGUAAGCCUGGGCUUUUUAGAAGAGGAAUAUUUUAAACUUUUAUAUAUAUCAUUUUAAAGUUUGGAAAAUAUAACUCUUCCUACAUUUUCUGUGACAUUAAAGACAACAGAAACCAGUGGUAGGACUCUGCCAGACAAGGGUGAAGAGGCCUGUGGAUAUUUCUUGAACCCUUCCUUAAUGUCACCAGAAUGUUUGCCAACAACCACGAAAAAGAAAACAGAAGACAUGAGUGACCUCCCCUGUGAAAGUCAAAGGAGCAUACCUCUCGCUGUGACUGAUGCUUUAGAGCAUAUUAUGGAACAACUCAAUGUUUUGACACAGACUGUUUCAAUCUUGGAGCAGCGACUGACUUUGACAGAGGAUAAGCUGAAAGACUGCCUUGAAAAUCAGCAAAAGCUUUUCAGUGCUGUCCAACAGAAAAGCUGAAUAAAAAAUUCAUUUUCAUUUGUUGGGCAGAGGCCCAAUAAAUGAACAAAUGUACAUACACUCAGGAAGGUAGUACAAGAUACUCCAUACAACACAACCAUGUGCUAUUUAUCAUGGCAUUUCUUAAAAGGGUGAGCAACAGAACAAAAGGCAGAAAAGGCAUACCUAAGGACUAAUUUAAACACAUAUCAAUGUGAAGGACUAAUUUAAAUUACUAUCAUUUAUGAUUGCAGUAAUAAAGUGAUAAGCAUUCAAGCAACUCUGUAUUUUCCCCAUAUUAUUUUAAAUGUCCAUUUUCAUUUAUAGGCCAAAUCCUGCCAGGAAAGUAACCAGAUCUCUGGAUUUCACUGUUAAGUCAUUUCAGAUUGACCAUAUUCAGACAGUCAUGGGGUGAAAUAAUUCACUUACCUCCAAAAUAGCAUCCUAUAUGCCAAUAAUGAGUUAUUGAUCUGACUAGUUGUAUGUCUUUCUGUUCAAAAUAGAAAUUAUCCUUUCUUACUAAUGCCUUGAAAGAAUGAACAAAUAAAAAUUCCCAGACCACAGAAUUUCCACAGCAAGAAUACACUUAUUUUAAUUAACAAUAGCACAGAUAUAGCAUAGGGCAGUGGGUUUUUUAGUUAAUUUAUGGCGUACUUUGUUUAUCCAUUGGCCAACCUGAAGGAAAUGAAACUCACCUAUCUUUCUAUCACAGAUGAAUGUGCUAGAUGAAUGAUUUGGGUUGUAUCUGAUCAUGGUUCACAAAAAUUAUGUUAGUGUGUUUUCAGUAUGCUAAAAAGUCAGAGUGAUACAAAAGUGAUAUUUAAAAAUAUACACACAUGUAUGUACACAUGCUUCAGAAAUAUUGUUGCUUAGGGUGAUUUGGGCAGCUAAAUAGUAAGUACUUUUUAAAAUUUUUGCAUCAUCAUCUUCCUAUUUAAUGAAUUGUGAUUUAAAACAAAAUGAAAAUAAGCCAGGUAUUCUAAAAGAUCCUGGAUACAAAUUAAGAAUUUUGCUUUAUUUUAAACCAAAUUGAGAUUAAAUUGAAGAAAAGCAAGCAAAUUAAUUUCAGCUUGAUUAUCAACCUGUAUCAAGAACAAAAAUGGGAGGAGGUGUCCACAUUUAUGGUGUGUAUAGGUAACAUGGGGAAAAUGCUAUUCUGUGUUUUGGAAAAGAAGAAAUAGUGCCGUCCUAUUUAUUUCUAUAUUUAGAAAUUUUUCUCAAAGAAAUUUCAAUUGUAUCUAUGAGAUGGGUUUCUAAGUAUCUUAUUGUGUGUUAUAAGUGCCUUUUAAUAUCAUACUAAGUGUGAGCUUCUGGACAUUUUCAAGAGCUUACAAAAACUAAGUGGCAUUGUAUUUUUAUAACCCCAUUGAGAAGACUAAGUAAGAAAUGAAAUGUCCUAUCAAUUUUAUUUUGUCAUGCUUCAAACAAUAAAGACAUUUCUGCUUUAAAAGAAAAA